GGGGGCAGUAGUGCUGUGUGUGGUGAUGGAGCAGACGGCAGAGCAGAGCAGAGGAAGACUGUCGUUAAAACACUGGAGGAAUACACCAACAACAUCUCGACACCUGCUGACGGCCAUAUUGUACUCAUACAGGUCCCUCGCUCCAAGUGGGAGAAGGAGGACUACGAAUCAGAGGAAGAGGAAGGAGGGGUCAGGGUUCAACUACUCCGCCCCUUGCUCGCCCCCUCCCUCCCUUUCCCCCCCGGACCCCACGUCGCCGUGACAACGGAGACGGAGGCAGGGCGAUGGAAAGAGAGGGACUGUACCUUUCCCAAGCCGGAGAGAACUAUGUCCCCCUCUAGUGGCAGAGACAGAGAAGACGGCCUGCAGGAUAGGAAACAGUCCGGAGACCACAUACCUACUGAGAAAGACAGAGAGAUGGAGAGGGAGAGAGAUCGGUUAAAGGAAAAGAUGCGGGAGAGAGAGAGGGAGACAGAGCGGGGGAAAGAGAGAGAGAGGGAACACAGCCGCGCUUCUGACAAAGAUAUGGACAGACCGAGAAAGGUUCUCUCUUCCUCUCAGCGUCCGGAGCGAGAGAGGAGAGAGAGAGAAGGAGAGAGGACUGGGGAGAGAGGGAGCGACCACAGCAGUGAGAAGAGCUCGUCUCAGCGGCCGGAGCGAGAGAGGAGGGAGAGAGGAGAGAGGACUGGGGAGAGGACUGGGGAGAGAGGAAGCGACCACAGCAGUGAGAAGAGCUCGUCUCAGCGGCCGGAGCGAGAGAGGAGAGAAGGAGAGAGGACUGGGGAUAGAGGGAGCGACCACAGCAGUGAGAAGAGCUCGUCUCAGCGUCCGGAGAGGGAGAGGAGAGAGAGAGAAGGAGAGAGGACUGGAGAGAGAGGGAGCGACCACAGCAGUGAGAAGAGCUCGUCUCAGCGGCCGGAGCGAGAGAGGAGAGAAGGAGAGAGGACUGGGGAUAGAGGGAGCGACCACAGCAGUGAGAAGAGCUCGUCUCAGCGGCCGGAGCGAGAGAGGAGAGAAGGAGAGAGGACUGGGGAUAGAGGGAGCGACCACAGCAGUGAGAAGAGCUCGUCUCAGCGGCCGGAGCGAGAGAGGAGAGAAGGAGAGAGGACUGGAGAGAGAGGAAGCGACCACAGCAGUGAGAAGAGCUCGUCUCAGCGGCCGGAGCGAGAGAGGAGAGAAGGAGAGAGGACUGGAGAGAGAGGGAGCGACCACAGCAGUGAGAAGAGCUCGUCUCAGCGGCCGGAGCGAGAGAGGAGAGAAGGAGAGAGGACUGGAGAGAGAGGGAGCGACCACAGCAGUGAGAAGAGCUCGUCUUCCUCCUCACACUCUCACUCACGGGAUCGUAAACCUUUAUCUUCUUCCAGGGACCACAAAGCAACUUCUGACCGUAGACCACCGGACCCCAGAGCCAGGGAGCACAGAGACCACCUCCACCACAAACAUGAAGACAACAACGACCAGAUCUCAUCCACCGUUGGCCGUAACACCGACUCUACUGACCGUAGACCACCGGGAGACCACCGGGAGACCACCGGGGAGCUAGGCGGUGCCUCGCCCGUCUCCAAGAGCGACCAACCCCCAUCUGACCCUUCCUCUUCCUCCUCCUCCUCCACUCAGAGAUCUCAGGGAGGGUCUGAGCCCACCAGACCCAGCGAGAGCAGCCCUGGCAGGGACACGACGCAGGAUAUAUACGGCUCCAUGGAGAACCAGCCCGGGAGGGGAAAGGCUGAGGGAGAAGAGCCCAGAGCAGAGAGCUUCUCGGCGGGGAGACAGAGCCAGCAGGCCAGCCUAGGAACCCUAGAGAAGGAGACGAGUGGUGGAAAGCCCCAACAACACCCGGCCUCACUCCUACAGCCCCCAGGACUGACAACAGGGCAGGGGUGCCCCGAGCUGUCAGAGAGAGAGAGAGAAAGAAAGAGAGAGAGUGGCAGAUACAAAAGAUGAGGGAGAAGAUGGAGAAGGAGAGAGAGAAAGGGGUGGAUAGGGAGAAGGAGAGAGAGAAGGGGGUGGAUAGGGAGAAGGAGAGAGAGAAAGGGGUGGCUAGGGAGAAGGAGAAAGGGGUGGAUAGGGAGAAGGAGAGAGAGAAAGGGGUGGAUAGGGAGAAGGAGAGAGAGAAGGGGGUGGAUAGGGAGAAGGAGAGAGAGAAGGGGGUGGAUAGGGAGAAGGAGAGAGAGAAAGGGGUGGAUAGGGAGAAGGAGAGAGAGAAAGGGGUGGAUAGGGAGAAGGAGAGAGAGAAGGGGGUGGAUAGGGAGAAGGAGAGAGAGAAAGGGGUGGAUAGGGAGAAGGAGAGAGAGAAAGGGGUGGAUAGGGAGAAGGAGAGAGAGACAGAGCACCCUAAAGCCAGACCUCCUCCCUCGGUCCAUUCUUCCAAACCUUCCACGUUCCAUUCUUCCAAACCUCCUCCCUCGGUCCCUUCUUCUAGACCUCCUUCUGACCUGGUCAGAGAGACAGAUGAGGCAGCCUUCGAACCGGACUACAGCGAGGGAGAGAUCUCAGAGGGGGAGGAGGAGGAAGGAGAGAAAAAAGUGGGCGGACAGCGAGCGGUGGAGGGAGAGCCAGCGGUGCAUGGGGGCAGCAGCAGAAGUCGUAGCAGCAGCGCCAGCUCUGUCGGUAGCCUGGGCAACAAGAAAGACAAGAAGAAGAAGAAAGAUAAAAAAGAGAAGAAGAAAGAGAAGAAGAAACAGAAGAAAGACAGAAAGCAGAAGAGACUGGAGGCUGAGGAGGGAGAGAUCGCAGGACUGAAACACAAACACAAGAAGAAGAAGAACAAGGACAAUAACAGAGAGAGAGAAGAGGAGGAGGAGAGAAGAGGCGAAGACCAAAUGUCUAGCGUAGCCUUAUGAGACAUUUCGUCGUGAAGCGUUUUUUUCCACACGUUUCAGCCCAAGGCUCGUGGCCCAAACCUUAUUCCCUAACUAGUGCACGACUUUAAGGCUCGUGGCCCAAACCUAGUGCACUAAGAAGGGAAUUGGGCGCCAUUUCGGAGGAAAGAUAUUUGGUUUCCUUCCGAGCCUCCUGUCAGUGAACUGUAAAGGUCUCAAAGAGGCGUCACACAGCCUCUGCAUUCCAAAUACCAUCCUAUUCCCUAUAUAGGGCACUACUUUUGACGAGGGCCCAUAUUCCCUAUAAUAAUAGGGCACUAUGUAGGGAAUGUGGGUGUCAUUUGUGACGGGACCCCGUAGUGAAGACCAUAAGAGGACUCUGCAAGCUUGUUCACUUUAGUUCAACACUUUGUUUGGGGGGUUUUGUUAUUUUUUAUUUUUUUUGCUGAGGAUUUGAAUUAAUUUAAUGAAUUUAAGGCUGAUGUAUAAAAUAUUAAUUUUUUUUAGACUCUGCUCAACAUAGGCUGUUGCUUGGACGAGUCAAUUUACUUGAAUAAUGCUUUGAUUUUUAAUUAUUUUUUUUGUGUUUAAAAAAAAAAUGUGUAAUUGCUAAAACCUUGAUUUGUCCCUGUCCCCCACCGUCCUGUCCCCCACCCCAGGUUAUUUUUGAAGAGUUUCUACGACCUGGGAUGCAUCCCAAAUAGCAACCAGUUCCCGAUGUUGUGGACUAUAUACAAGAAUAGUGAACUAUUAUGGACACACACAAUAUACCAUCUUUCAUAUCAGAUAUGUAUUCUCUAGAGUGAAAACGUGUAGGAGGAGGAGGAGGGAAAAAAGCACUAUCGAGAUGUAAAUGACUGUUACUCUGCUGUAAGCAGACUGAGCAAGAGUGACCUAGAGGUAGUUGUUGGCCUAUGUUUUGCAAAAUUACUUCCCCCCCCCCCCCCCUAAAAUUCACCAGAUUUCCCAGAAAUCCCAGGUUGUAGGAUUCACAGAUUUCCUUCUUGAUUUCAGGAAUCUGUGAUUUUUUAUUUUUUUUUUUAUUUUUGUUGUUGUUGUAAAGUUACCAGAAUUGUUCAGCCCCUUAGUGGUAGUUGUGUCUUAUGAUACCUGAAUUAUAUUUACACAAUUCUGACAAUAUGUGAAUAUUGUUGUUCGUUGAGCGCGGACGGGGGUAGAGACACUGGAGGGUGUUAAAGGUCCAUGUCUUGGGUUUAAAAGGUUCCGUGCACUGUGAAGAUUCAUCAAAUUUGUUCCUUUUUAUUUUAAUUUAAAUUUUAUUUUUAGUUUUUGCAAUGACCUCUAUUUAAUUUAAACUACCAGCUGAAUGAACUGAACCGGAGGGACAUUUUUUUAUUUUAUUUUUUUCUCUUGUUUUGAAGAUAAUAAUAAAAUUAAUUCUUGCAACAAAAAAAAAAGAAAAUGUUCUCCAUUUUCUUGUUCUUUCCACCUUUUUUAGUUUUUACCCAGAAAUCAAAAGGGUGCUUCAAAUGUGGAUAACUUUAUAUUAAAGGGUCUGUAAUAAAUCAUUUAUAAACAGUUUGCUCACCUUUUUUUAAAUCAUUGUUACUUC
RNAcentral lists this long non-coding RNA (4395 nucleotides) under Salmo salar (Atlantic salmon). RNAcentral's name for it is "lncRNA (ENSSSAG00000096064.1)". The record is from RNAcentral. Lineage: Eukaryota; Metazoa; Chordata; Actinopteri; Salmoniformes; Salmonidae.